RNAcentral lists this ribosomal RNA (402 nucleotides) under bacterium. RNAcentral describes it as "partial 16S ribosomal RNA". It matches the Rfam family "Bacterial small subunit ribosomal RNA", at positions 355 to 776 of the family's 1533-position model. The record is from RNAcentral.
UGGGGAAUUUUGCACAAUGGGGGAAACCCUGAUGCAGCGACGCCGCGUGAUUUAGAAGGCCUUCGGGUUGUAAAAAUCUUUUUUACGGGAUGAAAAUGACAGUACCGUAAGAAUAAGGUCCGGCUAAAUACGUGCCAGCAGCCGCGGUAAUACGUAUGGACCGAGCGUUGUCCGGAAUCAUUGGGCGUAAAGGGUACGUAGGCGGCCUAGUAAGUUAGAAGUGAAAUAAUAUAGCUCAACUAUAUAAAGCUUUUAAAACUGCUAGGCUUGAGAGAUGGAAGGGAAAGUGGAAUUCCUAGUGUAGCGGUGAAAUGCGCAGAUAUUAGGAAGAAUACCGGUGGCGAAGGCGACUUUCUGGUCAUCUUCUGACGCUGAGGUACGAAAGCGUGGGUAGCAAACAGG